RNAcentral lists this ribosomal RNA (253 nucleotides) under uncultured bacterium. RNAcentral's name for it is "partial 16S ribosomal RNA". It matches the Rfam family "Bacterial small subunit ribosomal RNA", at positions 524 to 776 of the family's 1533-position model. The record is from RNAcentral.
UACGAAGGGGGCUAGCGUUGCUCGGAAUUACUGGGCGUAAAGCGCACGUAGGUGGAUUGUUAAGUCGGGGGUGAAAUCCUGGAGCUCAACUCCAGAACUGCCUUCGAUACUGGCGAUCUCGAGUUCGGGAGAGGUGAGUGGAACUGCGAGUGUAGAGGUGAAAUUCGUAGAUAUUCGCAAGAACACCAGUGGCGAAGGCGGCUCACUGGCCCGAUACUGACGCUGAGGUGCGAAAGCGUGGGGAGCAAACAGG